ACAUUUACCUGGCUGUGGGGAUAUCAUGAUCAGGAAAGUGGUUUGUUUCAGGGCAAGUCUUACCACUGCACUCUAAAUAUGUUGACCCCUAUGAUUUUUCCCAAAUGUGGGAAACUUGGCUGCAUAAUUUGGGGUUGUGGAGGACUAUAUUUGUGUUCUCCCCUG
Small nuclear RNA from Neogale vison (American mink), 165 nucleotides. Its record names the gene U1. It matches the Rfam family "U1 spliceosomal RNA". From Rfam's summary of the family: U1 is a small nuclear RNA (snRNA) component of the spliceosome (involved in pre-mRNA splicing). Lineage: Eukaryota; Metazoa; Chordata; Mammalia; Carnivora; Mustelidae. The record is from Ensembl.